RNAcentral lists this unclassified non-coding RNA (334 nucleotides) under Hevea brasiliensis (rubber tree). The record is from RNAcentral. Lineage: Eukaryota; Viridiplantae; Streptophyta; Magnoliopsida; Malpighiales; Euphorbiaceae.
AAGUAUGUCUUGGAGGGUCAUGAUAGAGGGGUUAACUGGGCAUCAUUUCAUCCUACACUCCCCCUUAUAGUUUCUGGUGCAGAUGAUCGCCAAGUGAAAAUUUGGCGGAUGAAUGAUACAAAAGCUUGGGAGGUGGACACGUUGAGAGGACACAUGAACAAUGUUUCAUGCGUUCUAUUCCAUCCAAGGCAAGAUAUUAUUGUUUCAAAUUCAGAGGAUAAGAGCAUCCGAGUGUGGGAUGCAACAAAAAGGACUGGUCUUCAGACAUUCCGCAGGGAGCAUGAUAGAUUUUGGAUCCUUGCAUCUCAUCCAGAGAUGAAUCUUCUAGCAGCUG